Molecule: ribosomal RNA, 454 nt
Filed under: uncultured bacterium
Lineage: Bacteria
Description: bacterial SSU rRNA
Rfam family: Bacterial small subunit ribosomal RNA
Source: RNAcentral
UACGGGAGGCAGCAGUGGGGAAUAUUGCACAAUGGGCGCAAGCCUGAUGCAGCCAUGCCGCGUGUAUGAAGAAGGCCUUCGGGUUGUAAAGUACUUUCAGUCGUGAGGAAGGUGUUAGGGUUAAUAACCUUAGCAAUUGACGUUAGCGACAGAAGAAGCACCGGCUAACUCCGUGCCAGCAGCCGCGGUAAUACGGAGGGUGCGAGCGUUAAUCGGAAUUACUGGGCGUAAAGGGCACGCAGGCGGUUAAUUAAGUUGGAUGUGAAAUCCCCGGGCUUAACCUGGGAAUGGCAUUCAAGACUGGUUAGCUAGAGUCUUGUAGAGGGGGUAGAAUUCCAUGUGUAGCGGUGAAAUGCGUAGAGAUGUGGAGGAAUACCGGGUGGCGAAGGCGGCCCCUGGGACAAAGACUGACGCUCAUGUGCGAAAGCGUGGGGAGCAAACAGGAUUAGAUACC